RNAcentral lists this ribosomal RNA (253 nucleotides) under uncultured bacterium. RNAcentral describes it as "partial 16S ribosomal RNA". It matches the Rfam family "Bacterial small subunit ribosomal RNA", at positions 524 to 776 of the family's 1533-position model. The record is from RNAcentral.
UACGGAGGAUGCAAGCGUUGUCCGGAUUUAUUGGGUUUAAAGGGUGCGUAGGCUGUGUUAUAAGUCAGUGGUUAAAUUACUUUGCUUAACAAAGAAGCUGCCAUUGAUACUGUAAUACUUGAAUACUGACUAGGUAGGCGGAAUUGGUAGUGUAGCGGUGAAAUGCUUAGAUAUUACCAGGAACACCGAUAGCGAAAGCAGCUUACUGGACAGUCAUUGACGCUGAUGCACGAAAGUGCGGGUAUCAAACAGG